GACGAACGCUGGCGGCGUGCUUAACACAUGCAAGUCGAACGAUGAAGUUCCUUCGGGGAUGGAUUAGUGGCGAACGGGUGAGGAACACGUGAAGAAUCUGCCCUCCACUUUGGGAUAACUCCGGGAAACCGGGGCUAAUACCGAAUAUUGAAACAUAAGCGGCAUCGCUGAGUUUUGAAAGAAUUUCGGUGGAGGAUGACUUCGCGGCCUAUCAGCUUGUUGGUGAGGUAAUGGGCUCACCAAGGCAACGACGGGUAGCCGGCCUGAGAGGGCGACCGGCCACACUGGGACUGAGACACGGCCCAGACUCCUACGGGAGGCAGCAGUGGGGAAUAUUGGGCAAUGGACGCAAGUCUGACCCAGCGACGCCGCGUGCGGGAUGAAGGCCUUAGGGUUGUAAACCGCUUUCAGCAGGGAAGAAGCGAAAGUGACGGUACCUGCAAAAGAAGCACCGGCUAACUAUGUG
RNAcentral lists this ribosomal RNA (466 nucleotides) under uncultured bacterium. RNAcentral's name for it is "bacterial SSU rRNA". It matches the Rfam family "Bacterial small subunit ribosomal RNA", at positions 28 to 507 of the family's 1533-position model. The record is from RNAcentral.